RNAcentral lists this ribosomal RNA (911 nucleotides) under marine metagenome. Its description in RNAcentral is "bacterial SSU rRNA". It matches the Rfam family "Bacterial small subunit ribosomal RNA", at positions 610 to 1520 of the family's 1533-position model. The record is from RNAcentral.
CAACCCAGGAACUGCAUUUAAAACUAGUGAUCUAGAAAUUGGUAAGGGUUAGUAGAAUUUCCAGUGUAGAGGUGAAAUUCGUAGAUAUUGGAAAGAAUACCAGAAGCGAAGGCGACUAACUAGGCCAUUUUUGACGCUGAGAUACGAAAGCGUGGGUAGCAAACAGGAUUAGAUACCCUGGUAGUCCACGCAGUAAACGAUGAGUGCUAGUCGCUGGGACAAUAGUUUCAGUGUCGAAGCUAACGCAUUAAGCACUCCGCCUGGGAAGUACGGUCGCAAGAUUAAAACUCAAAUAAAUUGACGGGGGCCCGCACAAGCGGUGGAGCAUGUGGUUUAAUUCGAAGCAACGCGAAGAACCUUACCAGACCUUGACAUGGUGUGUCUGAAUAACAGAAUCGUUAUUCUUCAGUUCGGCUGGCACACACACAGGUGCUGCAUGGCUGUCGUCAGCUCGUGUCGUGAGAUGUUGGGUUAAGUCCCGCAACGAGCGCAACCCUCAUUUUUAGUUGCCAUCAGGUAGUGCUGGGCACUCUAGAAAAACUGCCGGUGAUAAGCUGGAGGAAGGCGGGGAUGACGUCAAGUCCUCAUGGCCCUUACGGUCUGGGCUACACACGUGCUACAAUGGUGGUGACAGAGGGCAGCAAUAUUGCAAAAUAAAGCUAAUCCCUAAAAACCAUCUCAGUUCGGAUUGGACUCUGCAACUCGAGUCCAUGAAGUUGGAAUCGCUAGUAAUCGUAGAUCAGCGUGCUACGGUGAAUACGUUCUCGGGCCUUGUACACACCGCCCGUCACGCCAUGGGAGUUGGUUUUACCUUAAGCCGGUGCGCUAACCGCAAGGAAGCAGCCGUCCACGGUAGGGUCAGCGACUGGGGCGAAGUCGUAACAAGGUAACCGUAGGGGAACCUGCGGUUG